RNAcentral lists this transfer RNA (74 nucleotides) under Gemmatimonadota bacterium. Its description in RNAcentral is "Gemmatimonadetes bacterium tRNA-Arg". It matches the Rfam family "tRNA". Rfam says of the family: Transfer RNA (tRNA) molecules are approximately 80 nucleotides in length. Their secondary structure includes four short double-helical elements and three loops (D, anti-codon, and T loops). Lineage: Bacteria; Pseudomonadati; Gemmatimonadota. The record is from RNAcentral.
GCCCUCGUAGCUCAGUUGGAUAGAGCACGUGAUUCCUAAUCACGGGGUCGUGGGUUCGAGUCCCGCCGGGGGUA